This 14961-nucleotide long non-coding RNA is filed under the name Solanum tuberosum (potato). Its description in RNAcentral is "long non-coding RNA (STUB_LNC009267)". Lineage: Eukaryota; Viridiplantae; Streptophyta; Magnoliopsida; Solanales; Solanaceae. The record is from RNAcentral.
UUUUUUUUUUUUUUUAUAAUAAGAAAGAUAAUGUAGAUGACUCAUCCAUUUGUUUAUCAAUUCUUCACAUAUCUCACUUACAACUCACAUGGAUCCAUUCAUAUACAAUAUGAAUUAUGACACUCUGGUGAUUGAUAAGAAAAGAGAUAAAAUUGUCCACGUAUAAAAUUUAAAUUAAAGUUAUUGAGGUUGAAUGAAUACGUAAAUUUACAGUAAAAGUAAUUGAUAAAUAGAUAAUGAUAGAGUUUCUAAAAACCCGUUUAAACUAAAGUUAUUGAGGUCGGAUGAAUACGUAAAUUUAAAGUAAAAGUAAUUGAUAAAUAGAUAAUGAUAGAGUUUCUAAGAAAGCCGUGAAAAUAUGAGGGAGUCAAGUCAAGAAAGGGUUAGGAGUUUUCAAUAAUGACAUUUUAGAGAUUACGAAAUAAUAUUAGGAAUAUAUUACUAAAAUUUAAAAAUUUUGAGCUGAAAAAUUAUAAGUAUGAGAUGAUCAAUUUAACUUAAUUGUGGAGGUAUGGGAUUGGUUAAUGAUAUCAACAUAAAAUGUUCUCAUUACACCAACAUUAUCUAAAGACAAUGCCUAUGCUUAGUAAUAUUCCCUCCAUUCCAUUUUAUAUGUCACAUUUUUACUUUGUACUUGCAUUAAAAAAUGAUGUAACUUUACCCUUCUACCCUUAUUUAAUGUUUUCUUAAGUCAACUUUAUUAAUAAAUGACAAGAUUAAUUAACUAUUCUAUCAAGGGUAUAAUAGACAAAAUAUGAUAAUUUAUGAGGGAGUAAUAAUAAAGAGAAAAAUUAGCAAGUGUUAUAUCACAUAUUUUUACUUAUUUAUGUUUGACUUGACACACCUAUUAAGAUCAUCUAAAGGGGUGUAUUCAUUUUUCAAUAUUUAACUGACUUUGUCCCUACUAUUUAUAAGUCAUCUAAAUAUUGAAAAAUGUAUAGUAUUUAAUAGCAAAGAUAAAAUAGACAUAAAAUGAUAAAUUUAUCUCUUAAUUUUUCAAACUAAACAAAUAAAGUUGAAUGAAAACGUGGACAAAUAAAAAUGGACAAAGAGAGUAAAACGUUAUCCAUAUAUAUAAUUAGAGAAAACGUGGACAACUGUUCAAAUCCAUUAGGAAGUGAAAGAAUACACAUCCCCAACAUCAUGAUCUCAACCACCUUACACAGUAAUUAAUGACCUUAUGGAGCCAACGGCCAACCUGCUUCUUUCUCAACAAUAAUUCAAACUCUUUAUUUCUUAUUUAGUGGGUUUUCAUUGAUUUCAAGGUAUUGGAUGGUAUAGACAAAUAUAUCCAAUAAUCUAAUAUUUUAUUUCGAAAUUAUAAUCCUUAUCAACCAACCAAAGCACCUUGAGAAUUGCGUACAAAGCAGAUGGAUGAAAAAGUAGGGAACAUUGACAGUUGAUUUGGCUUUAUAUGAACAAAAAUAUCAUAGAGGAAGGUGAAUUUAACCAUGAGUUAUAUAUAGACAGUAAGUUCUGCAAUAUACAUUCAACUUUAUAUCAUAUACUAGAGUACACAUAUACGUGAAAAACAAGUAUAUAAAACAUAACUUUUUUUUUUAUGACAAGGGAAACCCGAUGUCGCUACCCUUUAGGUGCGCACAAGGUAAAACCCCCGCUCCUAUGCAAUAUCUCGCAAACCACAUAGGAGAGGUAACCCGCACUAGGCAAGCCCGGUGCGACGAGCUCAACCCAGAAGGCAAACUCCUUGCUUUCGCUGGCAAGGGGUUUCGAACUUGAGACCUCCAAUAUGAAAGUCCAAGCCCAAAUCACUGGGCCACCCCGAAGGGUAGUAUAUAAUACAUAACUUACUGUCACGAUUUCAAAUUCAUCCUGAUUCAAAUACUGAAACUCCAUUAGAGAUGAAUCAAAAAUACUUUUAACACAUCAAAAAAAGUGGAAUAAAUGUUUGAAUCAGGAUAUACAGAUCACCAUUUCGAACGCAUGACAUCUAAGUUUUAAUCCUGAUUCAAAUAGUAACAGUUACAGAGAUUUUCUGUCCAAAGAGUAGGAACUCUGCAAGGACUCCAUAUAUAUGUCAUCAUGAACAAGUUCAAACCCAAAUUUAGUAGCUAUUGCACACAACUGAAACAGUAACUUUGUUUGUUUGGCUAAAAGGCAUGCAGUACACAAUGAUGUUGUUUAUCAACUCUCAAGUUUAAGUGCUAUGAUUCUUUAUUACUAUACCUAGAGGUGCAUGUUCUAUUCUUUUUUGCCAAACAAAAAACUAUAAUCAGCAGUAGACUAGCAUUACUCACACCACUUGUUCAUUAUUGUAGUUAGCUGAGCAUGCUGUAAUGACUUUCCUUUCAGCACAUACAAUCCAUAGUCUUCUUUACCAAUCCUCUUCACCUGAUUACUGAAGAGGUUUUCAAAUAUACCAAACUCAGCGAAGAAUACUACUGAACAUCUCAACUCCUUGGUAAAUUGUGAAACUGAUCACAAGUUGUACUUGAAAUCAUGAAUAUACAAAUAAUCAUUCCUAUCAUCUCUAGAUUGGAUGUAAUGUGGUUUGAUGCCUAUUAUUCACUAUCCAGUUACUAUAUACUAAAUAUGACAUUAAGUUUAUCAAAGUACCUGCAGUUGCAGCUUCCCCAUUUGUUUGAGAUGUUCCUUCUUCGUUUCCCAUGUUCAGCAUUUGAAAAGCUUGUUGGUUCUGCUUGAUGGGCUGGUUGUGGAACUGCUUGUGGGUAUCCUCAUAUGCCUUGAUUAGCAGUCAAGUUAUAUCCAUCUAGAAAACUUACCUCACAUUACCAGCAUGAUUAACAUAAGUUCAGGUCUCCCUCCUUUCUUUUUGCACUUCAAAAUCUGGUGGAUACCCCAGUUCUUUUGUAUGUCCUUUGGUGUCGAAAUAUUCACACUGCACUGGGAUUUUCCUCGACUUGAAAUUAUAUCCCGAGUUAACACCACCUUUGUUAUUGAAGCAUGCAACUCAUUCUCUUACCUCUACAACAUGUGCAAAGUUUGCCAAAGAUGUCUAAUUCUCCUAAGAAAUUAUCAUUGGCAUAACCAGUAUUUGGCUUCUAGAUUGAGCAUAAGACUCAUUAUAGCCCAUUAGGAUUAUAGAAGUCUACUAUAUUCAAAAUGCUCUGUAGUUCUUAGAUUCUGGACAUGCACUUCCAAGAUAGAUCGAGCAUGAGAACAUCAAACUCAUUUGAAAGAUCUUCCAGUUUAGAAAAAAUAAUUCAAUACAAACAUGGUACAUUGUGAUAAGGUAGCGAUCUCUUUAUGCAAGUAGAAGAAUCAAUUGUCAUUCACCUUGCCAAAUCUCUCCUUCAAUUCAUUCAACAUUUAGUGAGCAUUAAAAGCAUACACAAUACCAUUGAACAACUCCUUAAACUCACACUAUUCAUAAACCAAGAGAGGACUACAGCAUUAACCUUCUCCCACUAUUCAUGCAGUUUAGGUCAAAACUUAUUCUUGGUGUAAUAAUCGACAAAAUCUAACUUGCUUUUGCCAAGUAACCCUAUCCUCAUAGAUCUACUCCACAGUGCAUAGUUCUCAGUCCAGUUAACUGAAUACAUCAGCAAAUUACCUGGUGUGUCUGUAGGUUGAAGACACAAAGGAUGUCCCAGAAACCGAUAAGAAAAGAAGAGACAAAGGGUGAUUGUGCUCAAUUGAUGUCCCAUUACUCAAUACUUCUUCAACCACCAUUGACAGCUGACUUGAGCUUUACUUCACAAAUCCUAGCUACAAACUUAACUGCCAAGGACGACUCAACUCAGACUUGUUUGAAUUGAAGCAACUCCUCCCACUGAUCAAUCACAAGAGCGGUCAUCUCAAUAGCUAUGAACUCAACUGCUCAAGGACGAUUCAAAACAACUCCUCCCACUGAUCGAACAAGGGAAGAAGAAGAGGACAAAAAUGUACUGCAGCUACAUCUGGCUACAUGUAUACACUGUUAAGUCUACUGAUUGUUGACUUAAUAAACCAACAGUCUAACUGAUUGUCUAACUAACUUCAUCUUAAUUAGAUCAAAAGUUACAGCCUUGUCAUUUACUAUCUAUCAAAGCCAUCUCACAGUUACAAUACUCAGCUUGUCACUUUAGCUCAUUCUCUCUACAAAUUAUUAACACUGACUAGCAUAUAUAGGUUAAAUUAUUACAAUAUCAAACACCUAACAAGUAAUGAAAGAUGUGUAAACUGACAGUAGUUGUUUUUACAAAAAAGGAACAUUUCCAAUAUAUAAAAGCCAUUAAGCAAUCCGCUUAACUGCUAUUAUUGCAGAAUAUCAUCUAAUUUUAUAGUUACAAAACCAAUAUCUAAUAAGCAAUGCUAUAAUUACACCACCCAAAUGUGCCUUCAAACCCCAGCAGAAAAGUACAAUAAUGGAGAAAAACAUUAUCAAGGUAUUAGUAAGCAAUCCCUCUGGACUUCCCUAAGAAAAAUUUGGACAGAAAAUGUUUAACCUCUAUUACUUUGAUCAAGGAAGUACUGUUGACAAGAUGCAAGCUAAUGGAUUUAUGCAUAUACCAUCAUCACAACCACCUUGUGGGUCCUUUUCAAGUAGUGAAGUUAGCAUUUGUUCCGAAAAGUAUUAGCGACUCGGUGUCUUAUAAAUUUUUUCGCUUGUUGUGAGUCCAUAACUGAUGUUCCAUAAGCUCCCCAUCAGUCUAAAACCUCUUUCAGAUUGUACCUGCAAAUGUAUUAUCAGCACAAUAUAAACAAACAGUUGUGGACUUGAUAAAUGGACAACAUAUAUACUGGUUAAGGAAAAGAUACUACAUGCUGAAUUGGUUGAGGAAGGGUGGAAUAUACAAUCUUCACAUACAGGGUAUAAAGGUACCAUUUUUUUCGUCAUAGUGAUAUCAACCGCCAAUAUGUUAAGCAUUUCAAACUUUAAGACACCAUGUAAUCCAUCUCAUAUAUGGUGCAAAGCCAGUUGAAUAGAUAAGGAAAUCAUAAAAGAGAACUCUUGCUACAGUUAAAUGAGAAUGAGUGCAAUCAAGUUGCAAGUCUAAUUCCUACGGUCGUAGAAAAUUGGAACGAUGUACUCCCUUCAUUCCAAUUUAUUCCAAUUUAUGUGACAUAGUUUGACUCGGCGUGGAAUUUUAAAAAAGACUUUUGAAACUUGUGGUCUUAAACAUGCCAUAAAUUUUGUGUGGCUACAAGACUUUGAAACUUGUGAUCUAAAACAUGGCUAUAACAUUUGUAUGGCUAUAAAAGCUUCACAUCAAGGGCAAAAAAGUAAGUUAAAGUUACUUUUUUUCCAAAUAUAGAAAUGUGUCGCUCUUUUUUAAACAAACUAAUAAGGAAACAAUGUCAUAUAAACUUGAGCGAAGGAGUAGUAAUCACUUCAGUUGUAAGAGAAACAUAAUCCUAACAAGAACCCUUUCCUCUUCUACCUUCACGCCCCCAAAAAGAUUGAAAAGAAGAAGUUAGAACUCAUGAACAGUUACAAUGAUUUGUACACAAUCAUUUUUCUUCUUCUUUUCAUAUAGAUUUUUUGUAUUCCUCCGCUUAUAUAAUUUUCCCCAUUGUCCUCUGGAUCAUCGCCGAGGACUCUCCGAUCACUUGAUUUCAUAUUUUCAUAUCAUUUUUUCAGCUUACAGGGAGGUCAAUUACGAAUAUCUAAAGGGUCUUUGCAUAGAGAGAUGCAAGAGACCUCAUUCUAGUUCUAAUUACCUUAUUUUUGUGUUGGUGUUUUUCAAUUUUUUUUUAUUUUUUUUGUGUGGGGGGGUGUUUGAAUUUGGGAGAUGGGAAUAUAUUUGUAAACAAAUCGAAGUUGAUAAAGCGAUUCUGUCUUUAAAGACUCAAGGGUGUAAGCUUGCCAACAGGUAUAAGGAACUUCAUUUUCACCCUUUUUAAAUUCUUAUUGCAGUUCUCCUUUUUGUGGGCUAAACUUAAAUUGCUUUAUUCAGUCAAUUCUUUGCAGCAAAACGCUCAACUUUCAGAGAUCUAUUGCAAAAACAAUUUUUUUUAAAAAGAAAAUAGCUGAGGAUUGAGCGACUUAGUAAAAAAAUUUAAUUGGAUCAACAGCUGUUUGGCCAUCAGUUAAAAUUAUGGACAAAUCACUCAGCCAAGCGACUUGUCCGUUUUGGUUAAAUGAAAAAAGAAGUGGCCCUUUGUGCAUUUUAAUUAGGAAAAGUGGCCCUUUAGGCUACAGAUUCAUACCAAUUGAAUAUAGCUAAGAAUGUUGGCGGCAAGAUAAAUACAAACUGCCGGCAUCACGUAGUGGUCUCCAUGUUCCUCCUUAACGUGAGAGACAGAGGUAGUUGUCAUUGCACUCAACCUUAAUUACAUGAUGCAUGGCAACAAGAGGAUGGUGGCUAACGGUGAUAAUCUAAGUGGCAUAAAUAAGAAUCGCUAAGAAGACGACAGGAUAUGAGACACAAGGCAUAGGUAAAAUUAUGAACAGUCUCCUUUUUGUGCGUUACAGAAGGAACCCUUUCUUACCACAUGUAGUCUGUGUCGUUUAACAAAUUGAGCUUUAAUUUCCGCACAUCAAACUCCUGCUAUAGCUUUAGUGUCAUGCUCUGAACCCUGGAAAUGAAAAAAUGCACAGCCUAUUCAGUAGCAGAAAAAAACAUGACACAAAAUUAAGACAUCAAAAGUCUAUUGAAGUUUCCACAGAGUGUGAAGUAAUUUUUAAAAGACUGAUCUUAUUUAUAAGAAAAAGAAGAAGAGGAAGGAAAGAUGAAAGGUUGAUCAUUUGCUUCACUAAAGGCAUAUAUUCAAUUCAAUUGAGGUAGGGUCCUAAUUACAAGUAUACUGGUUGAUAAAAUUGUCUGGUUUCAGACUUCAGUUUCACUGAGAGUGCGACUGUGAGAGAGACGUUGAAGUGAAAGUUGUUUCUUCACAAAUACUACAACAAAAGAAUUACCAGGAGGAAAGCACAACAAUCACAGGUAAAUGACAAACCUCAGAUGGACUGCUUCGAACCUUCCUUGUAGGGGUUCGCAUGGUGACAAACUCCUCUGCUGCUGUAGGGUGAAUACCCACAGUGGCAUCAAAGUCCGCCUUGGUCAACCCUGCUUUGACUGCAACUGCAAAUCCCUGGAAGUUUCAUUAUGACAAAAAAUAUUACACGCAUAUUUUAUAAUAAUCAAUCUGAAAUAUCCACCAAAUAAUUAACGGUAACUCUAACCUGUACAAUUUCUGGUGCAUCUUCUCCACACAUGUGCAAGCCCAGAACUUUGCUCGUCUUUGAACAUACUAUUAGUUUCAUGAAAGCCCGAUCUGGCAGACCAGAAAGAGUAGCCUUUAAUGGCCUAAAAUUUGCUGUAUAAACAUCAACAUCACCAUAUUCUUUGAUGGCCUGUAAAAAAAAUUCAAAUCAUUAAUCAUAGUAAUUAAUUAUCAAUUCACAAGCUCUCGCUAUUAUACCUCUUCUUCUGUCAGGCCAACUAGUCCAAUAGGUGGCUGGGAAAAUACUGCACAUGGUACAUUCCUAUUUGGGAGAACAGAACACUCAGAUCAGGGGGCAGUUAUAGAUGAUUCUUUUUAAACAACUUAAAAUUCAGCUGUGAGAGCUUAUGCAUUUAACAUGGUAGAACCACAGAUCUUAAAGCACAUUGUACCAAUUUGUAGUCGAAAAUAAUUGGAGAAAUGUGCAUCUUUGGCUGUCCUUAUCAAACUUUUUAAGUCAUCAGAUGAAUUCUCAGAAGAAAGAAGAGGUACCUAUAAUCGGGUUUUGUGGGUUCACCAGCAAAAAUAGUUUUUGCCAAUGCUCCUCCCUCCAUCAAAGCUACUGGAGUUAGAUUAAUUCUAUCAGUAACAUCUCCAACUGCCCAAAUUGAUGGCACAGAUGUACGAGAAUACUCGUCAACCUAUAAAAACAAUUUGCAAAUUUACUCUCAUUCAAGAACACAUGCACUAAAUAGUUAAAGCAAAUUAGAAAAAAAAGGAGAGGAAGGCAGUCACCUCUAUGGCUCCAUUCUUUGUCAUUUUCACUCCCACUGUAUCUAAUCCUAAAUUCUGCAAUGUGUUUAAACAAAAAGAAAAUUAAGUAACUGAUGGUUACAACUUGAAUAUCCAAUCAAAGAGAGCAUGUGUUUGCAAAAAAAGAUGAAAGCAGUAAUAAGAGAAGACAACAUCCUUCCAGAUAAUAUGAACAAUAUCAAAGAACAAAUAACGAAGGAGUUGAUGAUGAAAAUAGAAGCAAAUUAAUCACCUUUACAGGAUCACCAGUCCAACCAAAUAAUUUAACGCCAUCCACCACCCCCCACCCCCACCAAAAAAAAACUGACUGGCCUUGGCAAUCUCACACCACCCAAAGAGGGGAUGGGAGAGAGAGCCCAAAAGAAGGUGCAAUAAAAGAUCUUCUUCUCAUCAGAGUACCUUGGAGUUUCACUGCACUAAAUGUGAUAAGAGCAAGCUUUCAGCCUUUCACAGGCAUGACAGGGUUUUGGGUUUAAUAUUGCCAAUUUUGGGGGGAGGGAGAAUGAUUGGCUAGAGGAGAAAUCACCAUGCUCUUCCUCCAUAAGGCUUCAAACAUAGCAAUUAACUGAAUUAACCUAUAAGGUCUAUCAGAGAUAAGCUACCCAACAGAAAGCGGAAUAAACCUUUGUAUUUGGACUUCGUCCUGUUGCAAACAUGAUAUGAGAGAAACCUUCAACUGUUCCUCUGUUAGUCUUUAAAGACAGUGAGCCAUCUGCUGACUUGACAAUAGCCUGAGGCGACUCCUCGGUAUGGAACUCAAUUCCUCUCAAUGACAUCUGUUCACCAACAAAAUCCCUAAUCUGCAUAUACAAAAGAAGUUGAGUGCAUCAUCCAGAUUUUGGGUUAUGAGAGAAAAUAAUUAACAAAAUCUACUCCGCAUGUCAGGGAAAAAUGACUCACUUCUUCAUCAAAGCCUCUCAAAACCUUCUUUUGUCGUAUAAAAACAUGGACCUCACUUUUUAAGCCAUUAAAGAUUCCAGCAAAUUCAAGUGCAAUAUAACCGCCUCCAACAAUGGCAAUUUUGUCAGGCUUCGUUGGCAAAUCAAGGGCAGCAUCAGAAUCUAUAGCAUACUCGCUUCCAGGAAUGUCUGGGAUAAAUGGGCGGCCCCCAACUGAAAUUAGUAUGUUCUUAGCCGAGUAUAGUUUACCAUCCACAUCCACCGUAUGAGGAUCCACCACCUGAAAGUACAGUCAAACACAAGGUAAUAUGCUUUAACUUGAAGCCUUAAAAAGCAUGAAAUUCAAAUUGUAACAUUUCCUAACCUUUCCCCGCCCUUCAAUCAGAGUAACAUCCGCAUUCUUCAGAAUAUUCUUGUAGAUACCCGUGAGGCGCUGCAACUCAGCAUUUUUAUUAGCAAUGAGGAUGCUCCAGUCAUGUUUAGGUUCUGCCUCAUAAUUCCAUCCAAAACCACAACUCUCCUCAAACUCAUGAGAAUAUUUUGAUGCAUACACGAGCAAUUUCUUGGGUACACAUCCACGAAGCACACACCUUUAUUAGAGAAAUCAAGAAAUGAUUACACUUAAUAAGAAACAAUAUUGUUUAUGUUACACUUCAUAUGAAAUUAUUUCUCCCCUGGUUUUAAUGUAUAGGACAUUCUUUUCAUUUUGGGAUGUCUCAAAAUGUUUGACAGCAUUCCAUUUCCAUACAACGUUCACAAUUAUCAAGAAUUCAACACAUUAAACUAUUCUGAUUUUAAAAUUUGAUGUGUGAUGUUUUCACUUUUCACUGUUAAACUAGCUUUUUAACCAUUAUUACAAUAUACUUAUCCAAUGUCACUAGUACAAUACGUAAGUCGUCUAAUAUAUCAUACUACAUACCUAGAAAAAUACGGUCAUAUAAAAUGAAAUGGAGAGAUUGAGGGAAUCUCACAAUUCUUUCUUUGAUUACGGUUUUCUAAAAGAUAUUUAGAUACUUCAAGAUAGAAAAUUGUGAUUUAAAGCACUCAUUUUUUCUAUCCAUCUCAAAAGAUUGGAUAAGAUAGAAUAAUUACUGUGCCUGACCAAGUCAUAUAUGGUUUUACCAUAUAACGACUUGGUCAAGUAACCGCUUCUCCGUAGAGAAUGGCAGAAGAAAACUUCACUUGAAGGUAAACGUGAUUAGCCAACGUGGAAUCAAGGCGGUCAGUUGAUGUGAAAAGGAGACAAUCAACUACCACAGCAUUAAUGGGAACAAGCUGAGCUUUUAGAGAACAAUUUUGAGUACAAUAGGAAGUUGUUUAGGCCCAUAAAGGCUAGCCCCAUAGAUACAAAAUGGACCUUUUGUACAUAAAAUGAACAUCACUCAUCAUCCAGCAUACAUGCAACAUGCAUAUUCUUUCACCUAAGUCGAUUCCAUUCAAUUCCAUUUUUUUACAAGCUUCAUGUUAAGAAGCUGGUAAAAAGAAACGAUGACAUCACAGGCAUUUACAACCUUACUGUACAAACUAUUUCCUUACAUUAAUACCAAUCAUAGUCUAGUUUCCCAAAAACAAUCUCACUCUCCCUAGUGCAAUAUGCACAAUUUUGAUAUCAGGACCUUCGGCGAAAUGAUCCUUUGAACAAUUGAACCCAUAUUCAUGAAAUGAUCCUGGAAUCCAUAGUAAAUCUGCAGAGUUUCCUAUGAAUCACAUAGCUCAUCCAGUUCGAUCAAUUCAGAAACUUUAGCAACAAUAUCAUAAAACAAUAUUACAAUUAGCUCAAAACAUAUUCGAGACAAAUAAAAUAGUUCAUAAUCCCCCAUCUUCUACACUAGUCUAUAACUAAACAAUUGGUUGAUUCUCCUUCACAUAAUUCCCCAAAUAACAAUAUAACAUGAGUAGUUAAAUACUAAAGAUGGCAUAUUUUCACUAUCAAAUUAAAAAAGGUACUAUAAUGAGAAACUCACGUGCCACCGACGCCGCCAGUUGAAUCAGAAGAUAUAGUAGAGAAAGGAAGCUCACAAACAGCAACCGAAGCCCCAAAAUUAGAAGCAAACCGAGAAGCCCUAACACCACCACUACCAGCACCUAUAGUGAAUAAAUCGAAAUCGUAAUGCCGAGGAGUUUCAGCUCCAUUAGAGGACUCAGCACGAGUGGUAGUGAAACGGCGGCCAUAAGAUAAUGAUGAGGUACGGGGAUGAGUGAGAAAAUUGAAGCGGAGAGGCUUGAUAGGGUUAGAGAGAGAAAGAAGAGAGAAAUUAGAGAAUUUAGUUCUGUAAAAAGUAUGAAAAGUUGGAGAAGAAAGAGUUGUGCUGAGCUUUGGUGAGCUCAAAGAUGUAGCCAUGGCGGAAUAAAUUUCUCUGUUCUUUUUUUUUGUGGUGAGAAAUAAGUAAAGGCAGUUCCGAAUUUGUCUCUGUUUUUUGUUUUUUUUUUUUUUGUGAUUCGGAAAAUCUCCGAAAGAUAGCUAUUCAAACUUUACUUCUACGCAGCUUUUGUUUGUUUAUUUCUUUUGGAAAUUUGACUAUUUUGGAAGUAUCUAAUUAUUCGACUAUAGAAUAAAAUAAUUUUAGUUGGCAUGUGAAUAUGUUUUAUUGUGAAAUUUAAAAAAAAGUAUUUUUUUUAAAUAAGUAAAAAAGUUAAUUUUAAAAAUUGAAGUUGUUUUUUUUACUUUAAGUGAAAAUACUUUUUUAUUAUUAUUUAAAUCUUUUGAAAAUUCUAUAAUUCAACUUUGGGUUAAAUUUCUAAAUUUUAUGGCUAAAUAUAAAGUGAAAAAGAAAAUCAGAGCCAAAUGCCUUCUUAUUAUCAAUUUUAAUUUUGGUACAAAAUAAUCAUUGUUAUUAGUCAAAUAAUUUUAAAAUAUCUUUGUCACUAAGUAGGCGUUAGGUCAUACGAUAUCAAUUCAUAAUAUGAAAUUAGUAUUUGGACAUGCGAUUUCACGCUGAUUUCAUCUCAUGAUUUCGUAUCAUGAAAUGAAAUCUCAAAUUCUCCAAAGACCAUGAUUUGGGAAUUCCAUAUCAUGAUUUAGGAUUUUUCAAAUACAAAAAUUGACCAACAAGUUUAUAUUUUGUUAAAAAAAAUACAUUUAUAUCUACUAGCCAUUUUUUAAUAUGUAAAUAAAAUUUAUAAUUCAUAUAAUUACUUUUAAACCGUUUAUAUCUCAUACAACAAUUAUUCUUGUCAAUAAAAAAAAAUUACUUCAGAUUUAUUCUUAAUUUACCAUUGUUUACCAAAUUCAUGAUUUUUUAAUCAAAUUUAUUACCAUUUCAUUCAAAUCAUUGUUAGAUGAAAAAGUAAAUUAAUCAUUAUAUUGAGCGAACAAGACUAAUCAUUGUGACAUUAAUUGAAAAACAGUUUUCUUAGCUAUUAACAACUUAAACAUUAUAACUUAUAUUCAAUUUAAUUUUUUUUAUUGAAUUAAGGUUUGAUCAAUAAAUGUUGUAUUUUUUAGAAUAGUUUUGUUAGGGUAUUAUGCAAUUUUUAUUUUAUUUUUUUACUUAUUUGGUAAGAUUGUAUGAAAAAUUGAAACAAUUUUAAUAGUUUCACAACUUAUGAGGUUUUUAUGAUUAUGUGAAAAUAUACAUCAUAAAAAGUCCAAACCGCAUGUCCAAACAAAACUUUAACUUCAUCUCAUGAUUUCAUAUCGCACAGUUAAACUCAACUCAAAUGAUAAAAAAAGAUUCAAUUUUAUCCUUGAAUUGUUCAAAAUAGAAGAAUUUCACCCAAUAAUUUUUUAUAUUUCAAACACAAAUUUAAAUAUAUCUUUUUUCACAUUCAUUAUCAAUGCAACUAAUAUUUAAAACAAUUUUUGUUAAUACAAAAAAUUGAAAAAAGUACUUUAUCUAAAAAAUUGAAAAUGUUACGAAUAUCAAUGACAAUUAUAAAAUAACGUACUUAAUAAGAUAAAGAAUAAAAAGGAUAAGCAAAGGAAGAUUAAUAAGAAGUUCUAAAAUUUGUAGUGCAAAUAUAUAAUUAUAUUUAAUUGGGAAUUAAUACUUUAUACAAAUAUUUUUUUGUUGUUAAGCAAAUUGAACAAACUAUAGAAUUAUUGACUAACUAGGCAAUAUAUAUGCGCUUCACAUAGUUAUAAAUAACUUCAUUAAGCUUAGAACAUCCUUUUCAAUAUUAUAUUAUUAAAAAAAUAAGUAAAUUAUGAUAAAAACUACGGUACAUUUUUUUAAGAAUGUUUCAUAAAAAAAUUAUUAGAUAUUAUUACAUAUCUCAAUUCUCAAAGACUAUAGAUUUAUAAUUCGUUUUUGAAAAAGUCUUGAUGUCCGAUCAAUUUCAUCUUUUACAUAUUUCUUUAUCUAACAUUUGUUUGUUGAUAUAAUUAUUUUUUCAAUGUUAAUUGAUCUUUUUAUCAAAUCAUUAAUCAUCAGUACUUUUUAUCUUUUCAUACACGUAAAGAUCUAUAUAAUUUUUCAUCAUAAUUGUGGAGGAUAUCUUUGUAAAUAAAUAUUUUUAUGCAAUGCAUAUUAUUUUUAAUACAUCAAAUCAUGUAUAAGAAAUAAUUAUGUAAAAUCAAUACAAGCAUUACUAAUACAUUCUAUUUAAUGUCAUUCUUGUACACCUUAAUUACCAAAUGAUCUUUUAGAUACAUACUCUGCACAGUUAGAGAAAGGUAGGAGCAUUGUGGAGGUCGAAGUUUAAUCGGUUGCCUUUUGUUGAUCUUCAUAUUAUUAUUUUUAUAUUUUCUUUUGGAUGAUUUAUUAUUUUUCUUUCAAGUUUAUGUGGAGCUAAACUUCACGUUCUGAAAAUCUGAUAAACCAUGAAUAUUGACGUUUGACGAUUAUUUUCAAUCUUAAUAUGAAUUAUCAAUUGUGAUUGUUUCUUUAAUUUUGUGCACAAUUGGUUGAUUGUUUGACAAACAUUUAGGUUCUAUCAACUACUUGAGACAUGCUUGAGAGAGAUUAUUCUUAGACUAGAGAAGAAUUAAAGAAGACUUGAUCUAAUUUCGUUAAAUUUAUGUCUAAGAUAAAGAUAUAUUUGGUUAUUUUGUUCAAUUAAAUAUCGUAAACUCAAUGCGUUCUUAAUAAAUUAAUUUCAUAAAAAUACAAUUGUGACAAUAGAUUUUGAAUAGACAAGUAAUAGUUUAGGAGAAUAAUACGAGUAAAUCUAAUCAGAUUAAUUAGCAAAUCAAUUCUGAAGAGACAGUUUGAGAACUCAAUAGGAUUGGUGAACCAACCGGAGAGUCCCUAACAUUCAUCUCAUUUGAUAACAUAAAAUCCACUACUUGUUUGUUACAGUUCAUUAUUGAUUUUAUUUUUAUUUUAGUUGGUUCAUAAUUAUAACUGAAAAAGUAAUAAGAAUAAGAGGUGUUAAGUUUUUUUAUCAUCCUGGCGUCGAGCUCCUCUCCUCUUUACUAAAAUAUUAUUUCGGAUGAAUGGGGAAUUAUGUCGUUUUUUUAUCCGCAGAAUAAGACUUAGGAGCUCUCUCUUUUAUGGCAGAGAUCUCUCCAUACCAAGAAAGUGAAUCACAAUGGAUCGAAGCCCUCCCUUUCCUUUCAUUUAGUGAGAUUCUAUCUCUUACUUGGAAAAUUGUGGUCAAGCCCUCCCUUUAUUCUUCGGAAUCGAGCGGGCAGCAAGAAUUAGAAUCAACCUAUAUAACAUUUGUUUCGAUGUAGUCGGCAUUCUAGAAGCAAAGCUUCCUGGUUGCCUGCCUCCUUGUGCAUAAAUGCGUUUCAUGAUCUCUAGCUCUUUCCCAUCAGCUCGUUCUUUACUAGGCAUCUAGACGAACCUGGUUUACAUCUUGAUUAACAUUAGUUUAAUUUAGUAAAUAAUUAAUCACAAGUCCUUAUUGGGCGAUACUACUCUUAUCACAUUAUUAUUUGUUCGACUACAUAUACUUAAAGAGUAAACAAUAACCUCAUAUUUCUUUUUUCCCUUUCUAAACAUCACUAAUUUUGUUCAAUGUUUAAUGCAUCACAAAUUGAAGGAUUAUUGAAAGAGGUUGCUAGAAGUGGAGAAGGAAAAAUACAAUACUUCAAUUGAAGAGUCUAAGAGAUACAACAUCAAGAGAAGUAGUUAAAGUUGAUUAUAGUAUCACAUAAUAAUACACAAAGUUUAAAGAGAGAGUCCAGAUUCUUCAUCAUCAUCAAUUCCAGAAGUGUAGACAGUGUAGAGAGACCAAAUCAAACCAAAUACACCAAAAAGGAUCCAACCAAGAAGAUUGUUGCUGAGUCCAAAUG